This 274-nucleotide ribosomal RNA is filed under the name uncultured bacterium. RNAcentral describes it as "partial 16S ribosomal RNA". It matches the Rfam family "Bacterial small subunit ribosomal RNA", at positions 523 to 796 of the family's 1533-position model. The record is from RNAcentral.
AUACGGAGGGUGCAAGCGUUACUCGGAAUCACUGGGCGUAAAGCGCGCGCAGGCGGCUUGAUAAGUUGGAUGUGAAAGCCUACGGCUCAACCGUAGAACUGCAUCCAAAACUGUCAGGCUAGAGUGUGGGAGAGGAGGAUGGAAUUAGUUGUGUAGGGGUAAAAUCCGUAGAGAUAACUAGGAAUACCAAAAGCGAAGGCAAUCUUCUGGAACACUACUGACGCUGAGGCGCGAAGGCGUGGGGAGCAAACAGGAUUAGAAACCCUAGUAGUCC